UGUAUGCAUAUAAGUAUGACAUUUAGUUUGUAUGUGUAAUACUUCCUUGUCUUAUAUACAUAUAGGUACAUUGCAGAAGAGAAACAAAGGGGAGGAGAGAGAGAUAACAGAGAUCUAUUCGGCCAAGAGAGAGAGAUGAGAAGGAGGAGGAGCAGGAGGAGGAGCAGAAAAGUGUAAGAUCCGAGCUGGAGAAGAAAAUAAGGAAAGGAAAUAAUAAAAGAAAAAGUGAUCUGGAGAAAAAACUAGGAAAAAAACUUAAAGCAAGGUGUUAGAAGAGGUUAUCAAGCAAGGGAUAACUAUAAGGUGACCGUGAAGUGAUCGAUAAUUUUAGGUAACCAUGGAAUUCCUCGUUCAGCCAUGCAUGGUGCCAUGGACUCUGUAGCAGAAUUCUUCAACUUUCCUAGUGAGGAGAAGAUGCAUCUCUUGUCUAGAAUGUUCAUCAACCGGUGAGGUAUGGCACGAGUUUGAAUCAUGUUAAUGACAAAGUUCGUAACUGGAGAGGAUUCAUCAAGCACUACUCUUAUCGGAUCUCAAUUUGGAUUGAUCUUUGGCCUUCAAGUCCCUCAAG
Molecule: long non-coding RNA, 568 nt
Organism: Cornus florida
Lineage: Eukaryota; Viridiplantae; Streptophyta; Magnoliopsida; Cornales; Cornaceae
Exons: 3
Source: RefSeq, a predicted model, not a curated record